Drosophila gunungcola (fruit fly) is the source of this 580-nucleotide long non-coding RNA. RefSeq lists it as uncharacterized. The record is from RefSeq and is a predicted model, not a curated record. The transcript is spliced from 4 exons. NCBI's taxonomy places the organism in Eukaryota, Metazoa, Arthropoda, Insecta, Diptera, Drosophilidae.
UUGCACGGCGCGUGCCAUCAUUUCUAAGUCGCAGUUGAAGAGGUCGGAUGUGUCGUGUAGUUGUGAAAAUUUAAGUUUUAUCGCUGAUGCCAAAGCCGUGCGCGUCUCUCAUCAGAAACACAAAUCAAAGAUAGUGAAGUGCGAAAAUAAUUAAUUUGGAUCGCGAUUCUUACACGUUAUUGGGUGAAUAAUUCUGCAAUAAAUUUGUUUUAGGCUUUCCUUAUGUGCAUAAAUACCCACGCUUGAUAUAUAUACAUGUGUUGGUUUGCUUAGUUAUUCGCACAUUGUGUAUUUUACGGCGAUCUAGUUUUACAUAAUUAACCCUCAAGAUAAAGAUCACGACAAGAUUAAUUUUAAGCUUCGGAAGCAUAACUAUUUGAUACAAAUCGAUUUUAAUUUAAUGUUCCCUGGAAAGGAAAGGCGUAUUAGCUUCAAAAUGGGAAGCGUUUAAGAAGAAAAUACAACAGUACUAUGCGUAUAAUAUCCACAACGUGAAAAUCAAGAAGCUGUUAUGAAUUUCAAGAUUCAGAGACUAUUGACUUUAUUUUGACAAUCCUGCUCCUCUCAAUUUUACCGUCCA